AAGUUUAAGUUAAGAAGCGAGUUCAGUUUGAGACCUAAAACAAUUAGGACGUGUUCUUCCAAAUAAUAAUAAUUGUACUAGUUGAUAAAUAAAAUUAAAUAAAGUUUUUUUUUUUAUGUAAAACUUAUAGUACGAAUAUUUAAUUGGCGCAGUCGGUAGGAUUUCAAGUGAAAAAGUUAAAACGUCGGCUUAAACUAGUCUUAGGGAUUAUACUAUACAACUAGUAUAUCCUGACCAGUACGAAUAAAUCAGAAAUCUUUUAAAAACACAAGUGAAAUCCGCAAAAGACUCUACGUGCAAAUCGUCGCGUAAACCAGUGAAAAAUCCAAUUCGGUCAAUACCACUAAAAUUUAAAGUGAAAUAUUGAAAAACUUCAUAAAUACAUAAAAUCCAAAUCGGUCAAUCUCGCUUAAAUAAAUAAUUUAAAGUGAAAUAUUGAAACUUUAACAAAACCAGAAUGGCAAACCCAAUCCAAUUAUCGGAGAUCCAUUUGAACCAACUAAUUCGUCAAAUUAAAGAGUUGCCCUACUUUGAUGGCAAUCCAACCGACCUAGGUGGUUACAUUGGGCGUGUCGAAUACCUACUACAGCUAUAUCCAACUCAGAAUGCCCGACAAGUUCAAAUAAUUUCUAGUAGAUGAAGUUGGCUUUUGCUAUAUAAAUAACUAAAUAACUAACUUUGCAUUGUUUUGGAUAAAGUUGCUAACGUCAAAUUAAACUAUUUUGUUUUGCAUCCAUUGCUAACGAAAACAUAAAUUAAAUUAGAUACGUCGAGCGUGCAAGGAUACUAGCACUCCGAGAAAUAGGGAUGUCAAUACGGAACUUGCAGACAAAUGUGGCAGAAAUAAGCGGACAAUAUAUUAAUAUAUGACGAACGGAACCAGCACAGAAUUAAAUUCUUAGCAGUAAAUGAAAACAUCAGUGCUCUCCAAAUUCGAUUUGAAUCUACCAGUUACCAUUACCGCUCGAUACGAUGGAGUGAGUUAUUUCGUUGAAGAAUGGACCAUUCAACAGAAAAAUGCACCUAUCCACUUUGCAAAAACCUAAUUUUUGAAUGGCCAGCGCGCAGCCCGGACUUAAAACUAGUUAUAUACUUUUUCAUUGUAAGUUUUAUCUUUUUUUGCGUUAUCCUUGACAUUACGAGUGUGUCCUACUUGUUUAUUUCGUUUGAAACCUUUGUUUUAUAAUGUUUUGUUAAGUAUUUUUUUGUUAUAUCUCUUGAAUAUCGUUACAAAUUUAAUAAAGAACAAAUAAAAAUUUGUUUUUUUGGAAAAAAA
Molecule: long non-coding RNA, 1276 nt
Organism: Drosophila gunungcola (fruit fly)
Lineage: Eukaryota; Metazoa; Arthropoda; Insecta; Diptera; Drosophilidae
Exons: 2
Source: RefSeq, a predicted model, not a curated record